RNAcentral lists this microRNA (19 nucleotides) under Tribolium castaneum (red flour beetle). Its description in RNAcentral is "tca-miR-3897-3p". The record is from miRBase by way of RNAcentral. Lineage: Eukaryota; Metazoa; Arthropoda; Insecta; Coleoptera; Tenebrionidae.
CGUGGUGGUGGGGGUGGGG